UUGUAGGACAUCAGUACAACCUGGUUGAAGGGUGGACACCUGAGUGUUGGACUCCAGAAUUCUCCUCAGUCUGUUUUUUUCAGCAGGUGGUUGUGGUGGAGGGAUUGAGCUUAACAGUGAAAGGCUUUGGUUAAAAGUCUUUACAUGUGGUCCCGUCUUUUGACGUUGAGGGCUGAUAUCAGGCCACUGAAGAAGAUGAAAUCCAGUCCCAGAACUACAGCAUAGGCGAGUGCUUUAGGGGAAAGGACAGCGACAGCCAAAUACAGUGGACCGCAAGACCAAGAUUGGAGGUUCUCUUGUGGAAAGAGAUUUUUCCACAAACUCUCAUGGAUCAUGGUGUAGCUGGCCCCUGUGUCCAU
This is a long non-coding RNA of Onychostoma macrolepis, 359 nucleotides long. RefSeq lists it as uncharacterized. Lineage: Eukaryota; Metazoa; Chordata; Actinopteri; Cypriniformes; Cyprinidae. The record is from RefSeq and is a predicted model, not a curated record. The transcript is spliced from 4 exons.